UACGAAGGGGGCGAGCGUUGUUCGGAAUUACUGGGCGUAAAGGGCGCGUAGGCGGCCGAUCAAGUCAGAUGUGAAAGUCCUGGGCUUAACCUGGGGACUGCAUUUGAUACUGAUUGGCUUGAAUGCAGGAGAGGAUAGCGGAAUUCCCAGUGUAGAGGUGAAAUUCGUAGAUAUUGGGAAGAACACCGGUGGCGAAGGCGGCUAUCUGGACUGUGGAUUGACGCUGGAGGCGCGAAAGCGUGGGGAGCAAACAGG
This 255-nucleotide ribosomal RNA is filed under the name uncultured bacterium. Its description in RNAcentral is "partial 16S ribosomal RNA". It matches the Rfam family "Bacterial small subunit ribosomal RNA", at positions 524 to 776 of the family's 1533-position model. The record is from RNAcentral.